Molecule: long non-coding RNA, 547 nt
Filed under: Ananas comosus (pineapple)
Lineage: Eukaryota; Viridiplantae; Streptophyta; Magnoliopsida; Poales; Bromeliaceae
Description: long non-coding RNA (ACOM_LNC005832)
Source: RNAcentral
AUAUCAAGAUUUGAGAUUUGAGUCCAGCUACUAUCCUUUUAGGAGAACGGAGAACUACGUCCUUCUAAGUCGUUUUAAAUAAUAGAGAUCCCAAAUCGAUCAUUAGAACUAUUAAAAUUGAUCUAGAGUAUUUAUAAUAUAUAGAAACUAAAUUUCAUACAUUUUAAAAUUCGUUACCAAAUUCAUUGAAGAGUCGAAAAAUAAACGGUUAAAAAUAAAUAACCUUAUGAAAAUAGAUGUCAGACCUUUUCAAUUUAUGAUCGGAAUUAUCAAUCGUUAUCUAAAUAGUAUAAAAAGUUUUCUAUAAAAAUUUCAAGCUGUUCGGAUUGUUAUAUACCGUUUAACAAGCAAACGGCUCAUAUAGGCCAUCAAAAACUGUCAAUUUUGUAAUUCUUUGAUCAGCAGAAAAAUAAUUUUUAAAAUUUAUGAAAUUUAGUUUCUAGAUACUUUAAAUACUCUAGAUUAAUUUUAACGGUUCCGAUCAUCGAUUCGAGAUUCUUAUCAUCUCAAACGAUUUAGGAGGACGAAGGCCUCAUUCUCCCAAAAA